UACGGGGGGAGCAAGCGUUGUUCGGAUUUACUGGGCGUAAAGGGCGCGUAGGCGGCCACCGCAAGUCGGUUGUGAAAUCUCUGGGCUUAACCCAGAAAGGUCAACCGAUACUGCGGGGCUAGAGUGCAGAAGGGGCAACUGGAAUUCUCGGUGUAGCGGUGAAAUGCGUAGAUAUCGUGGGAACACCCGUGGCGAAGGCGGGCUUCUGGGUAAUUACUGACGCUGAGGUGCGAAAGCUAGGGGAGCGAACGGG
This 253-nucleotide ribosomal RNA is filed under the name uncultured bacterium. Its description in RNAcentral is "partial 16S ribosomal RNA". It matches the Rfam family "Bacterial small subunit ribosomal RNA", at positions 524 to 776 of the family's 1533-position model. The record is from RNAcentral.